Molecule: long non-coding RNA, 455 nt
Organism: Poeciliopsis prolifica (blackstripe livebearer)
Lineage: Eukaryota; Metazoa; Chordata; Actinopteri; Cyprinodontiformes; Poeciliidae
Exons: 3
Source: RefSeq, a predicted model, not a curated record
GAGUCGGUGGCCGGGAAAACGACACAAGCGAGUUAAGAAUCCGAAGUAGGAACGCAACGUUUUUAUAUUAAUUGAAAACAAGGUCCAAGGGAAUCACUUCACAGAUACAAUGAAUCCUCUGGUACAAGAGAAGAAAGAAAAAAAAAGUUGCAGAAUGAGGGCCUCACAGAGCUUUCCAGAUCGUUAUUCAAGCCCCCCCACAGUAUCAGGAGGUGUAAAGUGUUCGAGUCAUUUCUGGAUUUUCUUUCCUGCGCUGACACACGGUGGUAGCAGGUUUUGCAAAGUUGGCAAGUGACCAAGAAAGCAAAGCUCGGCGUUUCCUGAAGGCUGGGACACGCAAACAAGUAAGGUCCUGAUGCUGCAGGACCCCCACGAUGGAUCUCACUGCAAACAUUAUAUCUCAGCCGAGCUCCCACUUUGAGUUAGAAGACUUUUUUGUUUCUGGUAAACAAAUA